UUACGACUAUAAUUACGGUGAAACACCGGUUUUUGUACGAUCACGGAAGUUAAGCAACGUCGAGCAUGGUCAGUAUCAAGAUGGAUAACCGUUUGGGAAUACCAGAU
Molecule: non-coding RNA, 107 nt
Organism: Acanthosepion pharaonis
Lineage: Eukaryota; Metazoa; Mollusca; Cephalopoda; Sepiida; Sepiidae
Source: the annotation of a GenBank genome assembly